UGGUGCUGUUCUGUGGAGACUGGAUUGUCAGUGACGGACAAGAGCCUGAUCAGAGUCCGUCUCGCUGCCACAGAUGUCAGGCUGUCCAACUCUGUGCCCACAACAGAAGCUUGCCUUCUGCCAGUUUCUCCAGGACAGGGUGGAUGAAGUAAAUUAACCUCUCGCAGCCAGCACCACGCCACUUUGCCCUGACGGGAGACCUGGCGCUGCAGCAACAACAGAGACAGCCAGCCUUCCACCUCUGCUCAGCUACAGCCUGACGGUGAACAGCAACAACCUUGCAGCCCAUGGGCACCGCCACAGAACGCAGGGAGCGUACAUUCGCGAGGUGGAUCGACGGGAACGACAAUCUGUAUCCUCUCUUGCGGAGUUUCACCUGGAUGCCGGCUCGCUUCCCUCUGUGGCGUUGGAUCAGUUUCCAUGCGCCUAGGACCGCUGUCGCUGCUCCGGUGAGUAACUCGGGGGGGAAAAAACUGAGCGGAUUUGCGAAAGUUGGUGAAAGAAAGUACGGAGUAGCCUCCUUGAUGGUUAGCAAAUCUCCCCUUGUGCAAGUGAGUCGUGUAAUGUUGCCAAAGAUGAACGAAAAACACAAAAACAAUACUAGAGAGCG
Long non-coding RNA from Phyllopteryx taeniolatus (common seadragon), 610 nucleotides. RefSeq lists it as uncharacterized. The record is from RefSeq and is a predicted model, not a curated record. Lineage: Eukaryota; Metazoa; Chordata; Actinopteri; Syngnathiformes; Syngnathidae. The transcript has 3 exons.